GGCUUCUCAAUCAUUCUUUCUCUUAAUGACAUUAUGUUUUAUUUAUCUCAUCUCAACGUACUAUUGUACAAAUUAAGCUUCUUCAUCAAGGUUAUCCACUCUUUCAAUCUGAAUCUCAAUGACAAUAUGUUUCGUCAUUCAUCUCUUAUUAUUUCAUGAAACCUAGCACGAUACUUCUUUCUCAUUCUCAAUCAAUUCAAGUAGGUGUGCAUAGCAACUACCGACUGAACUAGGGUGCAUAGGAACAGGAACUCUGACCACACAAGGAAUCACUGUACAAUCCUCCUUUCCAUGCACAUAAUUUCAUAAGUAGAUUGCUCAAAAUCCACUAAGGUCAUCCUUACUACGGGUGCAUGCAUGAAGUAUUUCGCUGAUCACAUGAGGAAUCACUAGUGCAAUUUUGCUUUCCAUACACAUGAUUCAUAAAUAAAUUACUCAAUUAACACCCUCUGCUAUAUAUGCCCACAUACGGGUGUGUGCUUAAAGCAUCUCAUAAGUAUUACUUGACAACCCUCAUACUUUCACACAAGUUGAGGUUUAUGUGUUUGUAUUCACAACCUAUUAAGCAAUUGGGUUUGAUCCCAAUGUCAAAAGGUUAAAAGAUAAAAGAAAUUGCCAGGAACUAGUAAAGAGUUUUACAUAUAUUUUUUCAAUUAACACAACUGUUUUACAAGGUGAUCAACAUGCUGCAGUUUGUUUAAGCAGUUCCUGCUGCUCUUGAUAGUCAACCUGGUGGCUUCUGCAUUGUUCCGACUGAUUGCUGCAACAGGCAGGAACAUGGUUGUUGCUAAUACAUUUGGUGCGUUUGCAUUGUUCCUGUUUUUUGCAUUGGGUAGAUUUGUCCUUUCACGAGAGGACAUUAAGGAUUGGUGGACAUGGGCUUAUUGGUGUUCACUUUUGAUGUAUGGGCAGAAUGCGAUAGUGGUUAAUGUGUUCCUUGGAUAUGGUUGGAGAAAAGUAAUAACUUUGAAUGAGUCUUGCUUACAUUUCUGUGUUUGUCUUUAAUUAUCUUGUAAAGUCUGAAUCCUUAAUGUCAAAGUUUUUGCCAAAAUCAGCUGAACCACUGGGAGUUUUAAUUCUGAAGUCACGUGGGUUCUUCCAGGAUGGGUGUUAGUGGUGCUGGUAAAGCCACCCUGAUGGAUGUGUUGGCUAGAAGGAAAACGGGUGGGUACAUUAAUGGGAACAUCACAAUUUCAGGUUACCCAAAGAAGCAAGAGACAUUUGCUCGUAUUUAAGGAUACUGUGAGCAAAAUGACAUCCAUUCUCAUCACGUUACUGUAGAAGAGUCUUUGAUCUACUCAGCCUGGCUUCGAUUACCCCAUGAAGUUGAUUCCGAAACUAGAAGGAUGAUCUGUGAAAUUCCUUAAAAGCUCAUUGUCAUUUUUUCUCCUUUUGUCAAUUAGUUCACUGGAAGAAGCUUGAUGUUGAAUACAUUAUGGCUGCAGUUACACUAAUUUAUAGUUUCACCUGUUGUUCUCAGAUGUUCAUUGAGGAAGUCAUGGAGCUUUUUUGAAUUAACUACAUUGAGAGGAGCACUAUUGGUUUGCCUGGUGUAAAUAGCUUGUAAACUGAGCAGGGAAAGAGGCUUACCUUAGCAGUUGAGCUUGUAGCAAACCCAUCUACCAUUUUUAUGGAUGAGCCAACAUCAGGUCUGGAUGCAAGAGCUGCGGCAAUUGUUAUGAGAGCAGUUAGGAAUACGUUUGACACAGGAAGAACAGUUUUUAUGCACCAUCCAUCAACCAAGCAUUGACAUAUUUGAAGCUCUUGAUGAGGUGAGAAAUUUUAUGUUAGGGCAAAAGUAUAUGUUAAGAAGAAAUCAAGGGAGAAAGGAAGAAUGACAAGUGGCAGCCAGAUAAGGAGAGUACAAGAUGAUCAAUCAAGCCAGGAAAGUAUUAUGAGUCAAAGGCAGCAGGUAAUGGAAGCAAGGAGCAUGUACCAGAUCCUAGGGAAUUUAAAAGAUGAGAUGACAUUCCCUGAGAGAAGCAGCAGGCGCGAGGGAAUGGAAAAGGAGUAUAAAAAGACUGGGAGGACAGAGAAAAGGGGAGAUUUUUUAAGAAAAGAAGGUGAAGUAGGGAGAGACAGCCUCUCGAAGAGCUGGAGCAGUGCUUGGGGAUUGAAAAGGGUGUAGAGUGUCCUGUUCUUUUGAAUGUAUUUUGCUAUGGAUAUGUAACAUUGACAGCAAACUUGAUUGUUAAAUGUAAACAUUCCAUUAAUGAAUGAAACAAAUACAUAUGCUCUGCUGUGAA
Molecule: long non-coding RNA, 2246 nt
Organism: Mangifera indica (mango)
Lineage: Eukaryota; Viridiplantae; Streptophyta; Magnoliopsida; Sapindales; Anacardiaceae
Exons: 2
Source: RefSeq, a predicted model, not a curated record